UUAGGUUUAAUAAUAGCUUAUUUAGUUAAUUUAAAGAUUAUUUUAUAUACAUAUACUAUUUAUUUUAAAUAAUUAUUUUGUAGUAUUUAAUAUUAAUUAUAUAAAUUUGAGUUUAUAUUAGUGUUUUUUAAUAAUAAUAGUUAAUUUUGUGCCAGCAACUGCGGUUAUACAAAAAUUGUUAAUUAACUUUAUUGGUAAAUAAUAGAUGUUAUUAAAAAUUUAUAGUUGAAUUUAGAGGGUGAAAUUUCACAUUUAAUAUAAUUUUUACUUUGGUUAUUAUUAAGGUUUGAUUUAAAACUAGGAUUAGAUACCCUAUUAUAAAAAGUUAAAAUUUGUUCUAGAUUAGUAAUUUUUAAUUUAAUUAAAGUUAAAUUAUAUGGCGGUAUUUUAUUCUAUUCAGAGGAACCUGUUUCGUAAUUGAUAAUCCACGAUUUUAUAUACUUUAAUUAUUAAUUUGUAUAUCGUUGUUUUUAAAUAUUUUUUAAAAAUUUAAAUAUUUAAUAAAUUUUAUUUAGAGAUUUUAUAUCAAAUCAAGAUGCAGUUUAUAUUAAAGUGUUAAAUGGGUUACAUUAAAUUUAUUUAUGGUUUUUAUUAUUUAUAUAUAAAAUAAAUUGGAUUUGUUAGUAAUAUAUUUUAAUUAUUAUAUAUGAUUAUUGUUCUAAAAUAUGUACAUAUUGCCCGUCGCUCUAGUGUAAAACUAGAUAAGUCGUAACAUAGUAGAGGUACUGGAAAGUGUAUCUAGGAAGACA
This 749-nucleotide non-coding RNA is filed under the name Eucnemidae sp. 4 ACP-2013. The record is from RNAcentral. Lineage: Eukaryota; Metazoa; Arthropoda; Insecta; Coleoptera; Eucnemidae.